Molecule: ribosomal RNA, 537 nt
Filed under: uncultured bacterium
Lineage: Bacteria
Description: bacterial SSU rRNA
Rfam family: Bacterial small subunit ribosomal RNA
Source: RNAcentral
AGCGAACGUUAGCGGCGGGCCUAACACAUGCAAGUUCGAGCGAGAAAGUGGCUUCGGCCAUCAGGAAAGCGGCGGACGGGUGAGUAACACGUAGGUAAUCUUCCCUUGAGCGGGGGACAACGAGCCGAAAGGCUCGCUAAUACCGCAUACGUUUCUUGGGACUCUGGUCCUGGGAAGGAAAGCUAGGCAGCAAUGUCCGGCACUCGAGGAGGAGCCUGCGUCGCAUCAGCUAGUUGGUGGGGUAACGGCCUACCAAGGCGAAGACGCGUAGCUGGUCUGAGAGGAUGAUCAGCCACACUGGGACUGAGACACGGCCCAGACUCCUACGGGAGGCAGCAGUGGGGAAUAUUGGACAAUGGGCGCAAGCCUGAUCCAGCCACGCCGCGUGAGUGAUGAAGGCCUUCGGGUCGUAAAGCUCUGUGGGGAGGGACGAACCGCCGUUGGUGCAUAGCCAACGGCAUGACGGUACCUCCUUAGCAAGCACCGGCUAACUUCGUGCCAGCAGCCGCGGUAAUACGAAGGGUGCAAACGUUGCUC